RNAcentral lists this ribosomal RNA (1651 nucleotides) under Flavobacterium sp. HMWF030. RNAcentral describes it as "Bacterial large subunit ribosomal RNA". It matches the Rfam family "Bacterial large subunit ribosomal RNA", at positions 554 to 2206 of the family's 2925-position model. Lineage: Bacteria; Pseudomonadati; Bacteroidota; Flavobacteriia; Flavobacteriales; Flavobacteriaceae. The record is from Rfam by way of RNAcentral.
AACCAUACGCUUACAAGCGGUCGGAGCCCUUUCGUGGGGUGACGGCGUGCCUUUUGCAUAAUGAGCCUACGAGUUAACGUUGCUGGCAAGGUUAAGUGGUUAAGCCACGGAUCCGUAGCGAAAGCGAGUCUGAAUAGGGCGCUUUAGUCAGUAGUGUUAGACGCGAAACCGUGUGAUCUACCCAUGGGCAGGUUGAAGCUGUGGUAACACACAGUGGAGGACCGAACCGGUUGACGUUGAAAAGUCUUCGGAUGACCUGUGGGUAGGGGUGAAAGGCCAAUCAAACUCGGAAAUAGCUCGUACUCCCCGAAAUGCAUUUAGGUGCAGCGUUAUGCUUAAAGUUAUAUAGAGGUAGAGCUACUGAUUGGAUGCGGGGGCUUCACCGCCUACCAAUUCCUGACAAACUCCGAAUGCUAUAUAAUGUUUCAUAACAGUGAGGGCUUGGGUGCUAAGGUCCAAGUCCGAGAGGGAAAGAACCCAGACCAUCAGCUAAGGUCCCCAAAUAUACGCUAAGUUGAAAGAACGAGGUUUGUCUGCCCAGACAGCUAGGAUGUUGGCUUGGAAGCAGCCAUUCAUUUAAAGAGUGCGUAACAGCUCACUAGUCGAGCGGACGAGCAUGGAUAAUAAUCGGGCAUAAGCGUAUUACCGAAGCUAUGGAUUUACAGUCUGACUGUAAGUGGUAGGGGAGCAUUCUAACAGGGUUGAAGGUGUGUCGUAAGGCAUGCUGGACUGGUUAGAAAAGAAAAUGUAGGCAUAAGUAACGAUAAUGCGGGCGAGAAACCCGCACACCGAAAAACUAAGGUUUCCACAGCUAUGCUAAUCAGCUGUGGGUUAGUCUGGUCCUAAGGCGAACCCGAAAGGGACAGUCGAUGGCUAACGGGUUAAUAUUCCCGUACUACUAAUUACUGUGAUGGGGUGACGGAGUGAUGAAAGCGCCGCGAACUGACGGAAUAGUUCGUUGAAGUACCUACCUAUAAGCUGCGCAGGCAAAUCCACGCGGCUUGGGGAAAUACGAUAGUACUCGGAGUCUUCGGACAAAGAGAUAGUGCGCCUAAGGGCUUCCAAGAAAAACCUCUAAACUUCAGGUAAUUAGUACCAGUACCGUAAACCGACACAGGUAGUUGAGGAGAGAAUCCUAAGGUGCUCGAGAGAUUCAUGGCUAAGGAAUUAGGCAAAAUAGACCCGUAACUUCGGGAGAAGGGUCGCCCUGAGUAAUCAGGGCCGCAGUGAAGAGGUCCAGGCGACUGUUUAUCAAAAACACAGGGCUCUGCAAAAUCGUAAGAUGAAGUAUAGGGCCUGACACCUGCCCGGUGCUGGAAGGUUAAGAGGAGAUGUUAUCUUCGGAGAAGCAUUGAAUUGAAGCCCCAGUAAACGGCGGCCGUAACUAUAACGGUCCUAAGGUAGCGAAAUUCCUUGUCGGGUAAGUUCCGACCUGCACGAAUGGUGUAACGAUCUGGACACUGUCUCAGCCAUGAGCUCGGUGAAAUUGUAGUAACGGUGAAGAUGCCGUUUACCCGCAGUGGGACGAAAAGACCCUGUGCACCUUUACUAUAGCUUAGUAUUGACCUUGGAUAAAUGAUGUGUAGGAUAGGUUGGAGACUUUGAAGCGGCGUCGCCAGGCGUUGUGGAGUCAUUGUUGAAAUACAACCCU